This 500-nucleotide ribosomal RNA is filed under the name uncultured Glomeromycotina. RNAcentral's name for it is "partial small subunit ribosomal RNA". It matches the Rfam family "Eukaryotic small subunit ribosomal RNA", at positions 591 to 1092 of the family's 1831-position model. Lineage: Eukaryota; Fungi; Glomeromycota. The record is from RNAcentral.
CCAAUAGCGUAUAUUAAAGUUGUUGCAGUUAAAAAGCUCGUAGUUGAAUUUCGGGAUCAAUAUGUCGGUCGUGCCUCCGGUACGUACUGGCGUUAUUGGUUUCUCCCUUCUGACGAACCACGAUGUCAUUAAUUUGGUGUCAUGGGGAAUAAGGACUGUUACUUUGAAAAAAUUAGAGUGUUUAAAGCAGGCUCACGCUUGAAUACAUUAGCAUGGAAUAAUGAAAUAGGACGUUUGAUUCUAUUUUGUUGGUUUCUAGGAUCGACGUAAUGAUUAAUAGGGAGAGUUGGGGGCAUUAGUAUUCAAUUGUCAGAGGUGAAAGUCUUGGAUUUAUUGAAGACUAACUACUGCGAAAGCAUUUGCCAAGGAUGUUUUCAUUAAUCAAGAACGAAAGUUAGGGGAUCGAAGACGAUCAGAUACCGUCGUAGUCUUAACCAUAAACUAUGCCGACUAGGGAUCGGAUGAUGUUAAUUUUUUAAUGACUCAUUCGGCGCCUUACG